This is a long non-coding RNA of Salvia splendens (bonfire salvia), 1586 nucleotides long. RefSeq lists it as uncharacterized. Lineage: Eukaryota; Viridiplantae; Streptophyta; Magnoliopsida; Lamiales; Lamiaceae. The transcript has 2 exons. The record is from RefSeq and is a predicted model, not a curated record.
UAAACAAUAUUGGCCAGAGCCACAUCAGAUAGGCACGUUAAAGCAAAACACGGCAUGAUAAACACAUUUUCAUUCUCAUAAAUAAAACAUUUAGGACUUUUGUCCUUAUUUAAAAAGGAAGCCCAACUCGAUUGCUUAAUCCGAAACUAUUUUCUUUCCUUUGCGUUCACGAUUCCCUUGCGAGAUAUCACCUUUAGAAUUAAAAUAACACAUAAAUCAACAUACUUUUAAAUUAAAUAAGUAAAAAUGCAUGCAUCCUUAGCGAAGUCUUUUAUCUCGAUUUAUCUUGGUUUUCGAUUAUUCGGCGGCCGCUUACGCCCUUAAUUUCCUCCGUUGACUCCUCGUAUUUUCUUGGCUCCUCGUAUUUUCUUAACGAUAUCGAAAUAAAAUCCCCUAAAUUAUCAAAGUGUGUAAUUAAAUUAUCGCAAGCAUUUUCCCCUCGAGCUAUAUUUAUUCCGGACUUAGGAUAUAAUUAUUCAUUCGUUGAAAUAUUCCGAAAUUAAUUAAAUAAUUCGUCACUAUUAAUUAUCGGCCCAAAGAUUUAUUGAAAAGACUCAAAGUUUAAUUAUUUCUCCACCUUAUCUCUCCAAUUAAAUUAAGAAGCCCCAACAAAUUAAAUUGGAGCCCAACUAACCAAAUCCUACCAUUUAAAUUAAAGAGGUCCAAACAAUUAAAUGGAGCCCAUCUUUAAUAAUACAUCCAAUUCUAAUUAAUGAGACCCAAUCCCAAUUAAAAUAAAAGCCCAAAAUCAAGUAUACUCCAUCCCCCAUCUUCCUCGUCUCACACUCUCUCUCUCUCCUCUCACCCUCUUCUUCUCUCUAGCUCGACACCUGAAGGAAUCCGAUCCGGCGUCGCCUUGCACUUCCGCCGUCGGCCGCCGUUCGGCCGAGCCGCUGCUGCUACUGCUCGUCGGGGAGAGGCUGCUGUUGCCGGAAGGAGCUACUGCUGCCGUCGGGAAGAGCUGCUGCCGACCGCGCCGCUGUUCCGUCGCCGUGAGCCGUCUCCAGCCCUGCACCCGCACCCGACGCCGCCGUCGCUGCCGGGAGGUGCUGCCUCUGGUCAGCCCCCGAUUUCCUCCCCGAAGAUUGUGGCAACAGUAGGAUGAAAUAUAUAUGGAUGCAGUAGAAUGAAAUUGAAAUUUGGAUGGGAGAGGUGUUUACCUUCAAUUUGCAGACGGAUGUUGAAAAAAUGGUUCUUGAAUCUCCGUCUCGGCCUUAUUCAACAAUUGCAAAGAAUUGGAUGGGUUGGUUUAGAAAGCCCCAAAAACGUGUAACAGAGAUGGAGAUGGAGUUUGCAAGAUUACCUUGGAUUGAAGUUGAAGAGAAAUCCUUGUUUUGCUACAGAGAUGGGAGGAACGAAUGGUGCAGCAGAGGAGUAGAAGAUUUGGUUGAGAGGUUGGAGAGAUUUGGGGAGUGGGUAGAGAUUCAAGAGAGAGAGGGGCGGUUUCAAAUUGUGUAUUGAGGGGAUUUCUAUUUUUUUUAUUUGGUAUUUUAUUUGUAGAUUACGGAGGAUGAAUAUCUUUUCACGGAGGAGGAUAAUCUUUACAGAAUCUUUAAUUAAAUAAAAUUAAAGCGGAUUGAUGAUCA